This 206-nucleotide long non-coding RNA is filed under the name Elaeis guineensis (African oil palm). RNAcentral describes it as "long non-coding RNA (EGUI_LNC016121)". The record is from RNAcentral. Lineage: Eukaryota; Viridiplantae; Streptophyta; Magnoliopsida; Arecales; Arecaceae.
ACAUAUAAGGAUAUUUUUAUCUUUGAUAUAAUUAUAUAAUUUGAUAAAUUAAUAUCAGAGUGUGCAACAAAGCAUGGUGGAUUAAAUUGAUUAGAAAUAUUAAUCUUUUAAAUCAAAAGAUAUUAGAUGAAAUACAUUAGUUGCAAAUAAGGAAUGAUUUUAUUGAUAAUGAAAGGAUGCUACAGAUUUUGAUCUAAUCCGAUCAU